CAGAGCCACUGGGUUAGGACUUGUGGAGCGGUGCAUGCAGGAAGGAAAGGCUGCCCUAGAGGCAACACCUGUUUGAAAUGUCCCUGUUAUCUCUGUUUUAACCUGUUCUUCAGCUCAUCUUUCCUGCCUCUCCUGGCUUCUUUAUCUCUCCAGGAGAAAGCUCUGCCUUUCUCUUGAAUUCCCCAUGUAACUCACUGUUCUGUAACCUUGCGCUUAAUUGUCUGUCUCUUCCAGUAGACGGCGAGGGGUUUAAGGACCAGGUCUCCAGAGUGCGGCCCCUGGCAGGAUAAUGAAUGAUGAGUAAACGCACGAGUGAGUGAACCAUGUGGUGGAGCCAGACGCCAUCUUGAAAAACAUAGAUGAGAGUGGUCUCCCAAGAAGCCCUUCUGAUGACCAGCGAGCUAGAACCUGAGAAAUGAGGUCAAUGACCAAACAAAGACACGGCACUGGGUAUUUCCCUGCUAGAAUGUGUGGAAAUAUAUAAUAACACCAAACCCCAAUGAUGGAAAACAAGCUGUGAGUGGAAGUGGAGGCAUUUGGGAUUAAAUCCAGGGCCUUCAUGCUGAGGUACAUCCCCAGCCCUGUUUGUUUUCGAUUUUAAGAAAGGCUCUUGCUAAAUUGCCCGGGCUGGGCUCGAACAAUCCUGUCCGAGCCUCCCAGAGUGCUGGGAUCGCAGGCGUGUGCCACCACUCCCAGCAGGUACUUACCUCUUGAAGCCUCAGUUUCCUCAUCUGUAAAAAUGGAAAUAGGAACAUCUACUUUGUGUACAAACUAAACUGGUUAAAAAGAAUCUAUUCCUUCUGAUGACGAGUCCAUGAGGUGUUUUAGUGAGAAAAAAAUCCUGCCACCUGAAGAUGUAUUUUCUUUGUAGCAAGCAAGUAGACUUCAGACAAAGUGCCAAAUAGGGAAAUAUUUAUUAGCUUCGAACAACCCUGUCUUUCUCAGCCUGUUGCUGGCGUGUCACUGACAUAGCCUUUACAUCUCCUGUAGUGUAAGCAUCCUUCUAACACCGAGAGUCACACGGGCCUCUUGGGGAAAACCUGAGCUGCCCCGGGAAGUACAAAUGUGAAGAGCGAUAGGUUCAUGGUGGUUCUAACCUUUCGUCUCUCUAUGGAAUCCUUUGAGAAUGUGAUGAAAGCUGAGGACAUUUUCUCAAGGAAAUUGCACACAUAUUUCUGACAAUAAAGAGGCUUUUUCAACUUGAGGCUCAUCUUUGGGUCCCGGUUUGUGUGAAUGGUGGAGUAGAUGUCCAUAGACCUCAAGUGUUUUAGUGUUCCAGAGCUGGAAUGGUAAAAUGUCAUACAUUGGGUGAUAUUUAUUUCCUCACAAUUCUGGGGGUUAGGAGUCCAUGAUCAGGGUGCCAAGAUAGUUGGGUUCUGGAAAGGACGCUCUUCCUGGCUUGCAAACUGCUACCAUCUUGUGUGUGUGUGUGUGUGUGUGUGUGUGUGUGUGUGUGUGAGAGAGAGAGAGAGAGACAGAGAGAGAGAGAGAGACAGAGAGAGAGACAGAGAGAGAGAGACAGAGAGAGACAGAGAGAGACAGAGAGAGAGAGAGAGAGAGAGAGAGAGAGAGAGGGAGGGACAGAGAGGCUCUCUGGUGUCUCUUUUCACGAGGGCAAUUAUCCCUUCAUGGAGACUCGAUCUUCGUGAGUUUAUCUGAACCCAAUAACCUCUUAAUACCAUCACAUUAGGCUGGGGCUUCAACAUAUGAGUUUUAGGAGACACAAAUCAGUCCACAGCACCAGGUCAUAAACCCUGUGCUACGGGAGUAAGGGUGAUAGAGGGGAAAAGGUCCUGGAUCCCAGUCAACCAGAACUGGGCCCUAAGACAGGGGGCCACUUGGGGUCUCUGAACUUCAUUUGUCUCACUUCUCUCUCCUUAUGCUACCGGUUAGUGAAGCCAUAUCAUAUGGCAAGUGUCCUUCUGUCCAAUACCAUUGCUAAGCUGUUUGAAAAGCAAAGCAAGUACUGUUAUUUGCACUUGCAGCUAAGGAAACUGAGUCAUAAGGAGGUUGAAUAGUCGGUCUAAGGUCACAUAGCUAAAGAAUGAACUGCACUUGGCAUUCAUGCCCAGCCAGCUCGGGGCUUUUGCUGUACAUGGAUGUGUUGAUAUCAUAACUGCACUGUGAGAACUGCACAGGACCCAGCGGAGAGAGGCCUUUUGGAAACUAUUCAGGAUGGUCCUUCUCCACAUAUAGGCACACACACACACAAACACACACACACACACACACACACACAUGCACAGUGUUAUUAUUUUGUGGGAAGAGAGACAUCCAUUUUUGUAGUGGGACAACAAAAUUCCCAUGGGUCUCAGUUCUGAAGUUUUCUCUCACGGGAUUUAGAACAAGCCUUGUUAGAGGAAACCAAGUCAUCAGGCUCAGAAAUAUCUGGGACAUUCCUCUUUAGACCGCUUCCCUUUUAGACAUCUUCUCUUUUCAAUACCCUGCUCUAUUUGUGCUUGUUUACAUGGGUCCUUCCCAGGCCACACCUGCUGGCUUCUUGAAAAGCUGUCUCCAAGCAGUCGUGGUUUGGGGUAGUGCAGGAGAAAUAAGGAAACGGCUAGCAGAUGGAUGAGGGCCCAAUAGCACCUUUGUUCUGCUGCCUGCCUGGCAAGGCCAGGGCUGACUAGGCGCUGCUCUUGUGGGUGUCCCUGAUGGCAGGAC
This 2664-nucleotide long non-coding RNA is filed under the name Heterocephalus glaber (naked mole-rat). RNAcentral's name for it is "lncRNA (ENSHGLG00100034443.1)". The record is from RNAcentral. Lineage: Eukaryota; Metazoa; Chordata; Mammalia; Rodentia; Bathyergidae.